This 508-nucleotide ribosomal RNA is filed under the name uncultured marine eukaryote. Its description in RNAcentral is "bacterial SSU rRNA". It matches the Rfam family "Eukaryotic small subunit ribosomal RNA", at positions 613 to 1130 of the family's 1831-position model. The record is from RNAcentral.
UUGCAGUUAAAAAGCUCGUAGUUGGAUUUCUGGUUGGUGUGAUGCACAGGUUCAUUGAACUUCGUAAUUCAUGCCGGUCAUCCUGCGGAGUAGCGGUUUGGGUAUUUAUUUAUUCAUUCUGGCAAUCCGCUCGUUUACUUUGAGAAAAUUAGAGUGUUCAAAGCAGGCUUAUGCUUGAAUAUUACAGCAUGGAAUAAUAUUAUAGGACUUUGUUUCUAUUUCGUUGGUUUCUAGGAGCGAAGUAAUGAUUGAUAGGAACGGUUGGGGGCAUCAGUAUUUCAAAGCGAGAGGUGAAAUUCUUGGACCUUUGGAAGACUAACAACUGCGAAAGCAUUUGCCUAGGACGUUUUCUUUAAUCAAGAACGAAAGUUAAGGGAUCGAAGACGAUCAGAUACCGUCGUAGUCUUAACUAUAAACUAUGCCAGCUAGGGAUUGGGGGCUAUCUUCUUUGAUGCUUUCAGCACCUUAUGACAAAUCAAAGCAUUUGGGUUCCGGGGGUAGUAUGGUC